This 256-nucleotide ribosomal RNA is filed under the name uncultured bacterium. RNAcentral's name for it is "partial 16S ribosomal RNA". It matches the Rfam family "Bacterial small subunit ribosomal RNA", at positions 524 to 776 of the family's 1533-position model. The record is from RNAcentral.
UACGUAGGCAGCGAGCGUUUGUUCGGAAUUACUGGGCGUAAAGAGUGUGUAGGCGGUGCUCUAAGUUCGGUGUGAAAUCUCCUGGCUUAACUGGGAGGGUGCGCCGGAAACUGGAGUGCUCGAGCGUGGGAGAGGAAAGGCGGAAGUUCCUGGUGUAGCGGUGAAAUGCGUAGAUAUCAGGAGGAACACCUGUGGUGUAGACGGCUUUCUGGACCAUAGCUGACGCUGAGACACGAAAGCGUGGGUAGCAAACAGG